AGUAGCCGCGGUAAUUCCAGCUCCAAUAGCGUAUAUUAAAGUUGUUGCAGUUAAAAAGCUCGUAGUUGAAUUUCGGGGUCAGUAGAUUGGUCGUGCCACUGGUAUGUACUGGUCUCACUGGCUCCUCCUUCCUGAUGAACCGUAAUGCCAUUAAUUUGGUGUUGCGGGGAGACUGGACUGUUACUUUGAAAAAAUUAGAGUGUUUAAAGCAGGCUAACGCUUGAAUACAUUAGCAUGGAAUAAUGAAAUAGGACGUUCGAUCUUAUUUUGUUGGUUUCUAAGAUUGACGUAAUGAUUAAUAGGGAUAGUUGGGGGCAUUAGUAUUCAAUUGUCAGAGGUGAAAUUCUUGGAUUUAU
RNAcentral lists this ribosomal RNA (356 nucleotides) under uncultured Glomeraceae. RNAcentral's name for it is "SSU rRNA". It matches the Rfam family "Eukaryotic small subunit ribosomal RNA", at positions 569 to 929 of the family's 1831-position model. Lineage: Eukaryota; Fungi; Glomeromycota; Glomeromycetes; Glomerales; Glomeraceae. The record is from RNAcentral.